AUACGUAGGUGACAAGCGUUAUCCGGAUUUACUGGGCGUAAAGGGCGUGUAGGCGGUCUUGCAAGUCAGAAGUGAAAUUCCUGAGCUCAACUCGGGCGCUGCUUCUGAAACUGCAGGACUUGAGUGCUGGAGGGGCUAGCGGAAUUCCUCGUGGAGCGGGAAAAUGCGCAGAUAUUAGGAAGAACACCGGUGGCGAAGGCGGCUAUCUGGACAGUAACUGACGCUGAGGCGCGAAAGCGUGGGGAGCAAACAGGAUUAGAUACCCUGGUAGUCCACGCUGUAAACGAUGAUUACUAGGUGUGGGGGGACUGACCCCUUCCGUGCCGCAGUUAACACAAUAAGUAAUCCACCUGGGGAGUACGGCCGCAAGGUUGAAACUCAAAUGAAUUGGCGGGG
Molecule: ribosomal RNA, 396 nt
Filed under: uncultured bacterium
Lineage: Bacteria
Description: partial 16S ribosomal RNA
Rfam family: Bacterial small subunit ribosomal RNA
Source: RNAcentral